This 273-nucleotide ribosomal RNA is filed under the name uncultured bacterium. Its description in RNAcentral is "partial 16S ribosomal RNA". It matches the Rfam family "Bacterial small subunit ribosomal RNA", at positions 524 to 796 of the family's 1533-position model. The record is from RNAcentral.
CACGAACCCGACGAACGUUAUUCGGAAUUAUUGGGCUUAAAGGGUGCGUAGGCGGUGCGGUAAGUGCGGUGUGAAAGCCCUCGGCUCAACCGAGGAAUUGCGCUGCAUACUGCCGUGCUGGAGGGAGACAGGGGUAAGCGGAACUGAUGGUGGAGCGGUGAAAUGCGUUGAUAUCAUCAGGAACACCGGUGGCGAAAGCGGCUUACUGGGUCUUCUCUGACGCUGAGGCACGAAAGCUAGGGUAGCGAACGGGAUUAGAAACCCCAGUAGUCC